This 1438-nucleotide long non-coding RNA is filed under the name Equus asinus (donkey). RNAcentral describes it as "lncRNA (ENSEASG00005034987.1)". The record is from RNAcentral. Lineage: Eukaryota; Metazoa; Chordata; Mammalia; Perissodactyla; Equidae.
GUAAUUACCACUUAAGAAGGGAUAUGUAUAUUCAAGAGGAGAGCUUUGUGCCCUGCAGCUCUGUUAACCUGCUCCUCUCUUCUAUGUAAAGACUGUCUUUCAUGGGGGGCUGGGGGAAGCCUGUAGAUUUUAAACCAGUGCGAGAAUGUAGACGGGCGUAUUCCCAACAGAUCUGGGGGAGAAUUCCGACCUGCUGGAUUCCUCAGCUGAGCUAACUGCUCUAGCACUGCGCUCUCACCUCAGAACCGUAACCGGUUAACCGGCCUGCAUGACUCAGACGCACAGGCCGCAGGAGGGGUGGGCGGCCAGCCUGGGGACUGAAGAGAUCUUGACAAUCUGAGAAGCAACCAAGCACGGAAGGAAAGACAGUCUUGGUUUCCACAGGAGAGGUUCUGAAGGAGCUCGACUAAGCACCCGCUUUCCCCGCAAAGGGCCGAAGAGUGUGCCCAUCUCUGUGCUCUGCAGGCCUCAGAUGAAAGCUUGUGUCUCCAUCCACAUUUCCGCACCCCCUGGAAGCCAGACGCUGACUAGGAGCUCACAGUUUGGUCCUGGCCCUUCCUAGCCAUGCCGCUAACCACAGGCCUGAGUCCAGCGGGAAGAAGCAGAGGUUGCAGGCUCCGGCUCUGCCCAGCUGCCCCUCCCACCCAGACCCUGGGGAGAAGAGCAGCAAAUAGUUCCCCGGAAGUCAGAUCCCUGAGGGUGCCCAUCACGACUUACAAAAGAUGAAGCCCGACCUUCCACAGGGUUCUGAGGGGAAGCCAGGCAAAGACAAAGGAAUGCAGACCCAGGAGGCCGAGAGCGGCCCACAGCUUACUCUCCCUGCGCAUCCCAGCUGCUGCUACCCGACCCUUAUAAGUCACAUGUCUCAUCAAGAAACUUGGGCAGCUGGAUAAUCUAUUGAUGAUUAAGAUAAAGCUUUCUGCCAAGCUUUUCAGGCUCCAGGAUUCAUUUUAAGUGGAGAACCCCGUUCUGCAAAAGAAAGCCACAGAACUUGAUGAUAGCAGCCCCCACCCCUGCUACGGUUUGCCUGGGAGUCAGGACUGCCUUGGUCCUCCCUACCAGAACCAAAAGGAGGGCUGGGUUGGCCAGCGAGGCUGCUCCGGGCUCUCAGCCUUGCCCAGGUGGCCGCUGUGGGUUCAGCUGGGCACCGGCGCCCAUCUUCAUGGGCUUUAUGUAAGAACAAAGGUUUUGAAUUAGAACAUGCACAAUUACAUACAUUGAUUGACAGACUUCUCUUUCUGAUAUCGGGGCUCUUGUGUGUAUCCGUUUGGUUACAUAAAAGAUUCUAUUAAAAAGAAGUUUGUAAACCGCUAAUCUGCAAUUCUAUUGCAUGAUUUGUAGUUGAGAAAGCUGGCGCCACAGGGUGGGGUGACCGGCCAGAUGUGGCUCCAGUUUCCUUCUCCAUGUCACAUGCCCCUCCUCCUCCUCUAGACUCAUU